GGUGCUCGGCAUCACUACCAAGCUGCAGGGCCCCGGAGCACACCUGGGGUGGUGAGGCUCAGCAGGGUCCAGGCUGAAGGCCCUGGAGGACCUGACAAAGUGCAGUUGCCACCGGCUCCUCCCCCUCGGAGCUCUGAGUGAGCCCAGCGUGGGCUGCGUUUCCAACUUGUUCCCUGUCAAUCCUCAGCAGGGUGGUCAGCAUCUGUGCCUCUGGAUCACGUGGGAACGAGCAAGACAGCUUAAAAUACCUGAGUGUCCACCUCCCGGCGUGAAUUCUAACUCAGCGGUGGACCCUGGUACCGUUGGGUUUGGAAUUUGUCCAGCAACUGCUCUGAAGCCUGGUUGACCACUACUCCCUGGAUUGGGGUCUUCCCUGUCCCAACUCCUGUCCCUGCAGGGCAUAGGGCCCUCCCUAUGGAGGCAUCAGAGGCCUCACGAGGUCCACUGUCUGGAGUAAGAAAGUGCUUGGGCUGCAUAAGGCCAUUCUGGGUGGACAACGGCUACC
RNAcentral lists this long non-coding RNA (505 nucleotides) under Marmota monax (woodchuck). Lineage: Eukaryota; Metazoa; Chordata; Mammalia; Rodentia; Sciuridae. The record is from RNAcentral.